RNAcentral lists this ribosomal RNA (447 nucleotides) under uncultured bacterium. Its description in RNAcentral is "bacterial SSU rRNA". It matches the Rfam family "Bacterial small subunit ribosomal RNA", at positions 97 to 520 of the family's 1533-position model. The record is from RNAcentral.
GGCGCACGGGUGAGUAACACGUAGGUAACCUACCCCUUGGUGGUGGAUAACCCUCCGAAAGGAGAGCUAAUACAGCAUAAGACCACGAUUCCGCAAGGAGUUGAGGUUAAAGCGGGCCUCUGUAAACAAGCUCGCGCCAGGGGAUGGGCCUGCGGCCCAUCAGCUAGUUGGUAGGGUAACGGCCUACCAAGGCGAAGACGGGUAGCUGGUCUGAGAGGAUGGCCAGCCACACUGGAACUGAGACACGGUCCAGACUCCUACGGGAGGCAGCAGUGGGGAAUCUUGCGCAAUGGGCGAAAGCCUGACGCAGCGACGCCGCGUGAGUGAUGAAGGCCUUCGGGUUGUAAAGCUCUGUGGGAGGGGGACCGAAUAAGUGUCGUCGAACAGGCGGCAUGAUGACGGUACCCCUUUAGCAAGCACCGGCUAACUCUGUGCCAGCCGCCGCGG